ACACAAGUGUUCCAGAAUUUAUCUGGGAAUCCACUGAAAAGGGAGGCUCAACACAAACACACAUCACAAUGUUGAUGAUAAACGUUUGGAAAGCUGUUCUCGUAUAUUUGGAAUCACGGAACAUCUCCGCAAGCAAGGCAAAAUAUACAUCCGGAAGGAGAUUCUGGAAGGUAUACAUUUAAGAAGAAAGGGAGCUACAGGCUUCAUGAAAAAGAACAAAAGAAAGCUAAUUUCAGCUUCCUGACAUUCUCAUUCCAUCAGCUGGUCCUACUAAUUCUACCUCCAGUGUCUGUCUUGCAUCUUCCAGCUCCUCUCCACCUUUUUCAGUCCUUGUAAACCUGAAAUCAAUCCAAGCUCAAAAUCACAACCUCUUCCAUUGAGUGUACUUUAGUGUCUCACACAUAGAGGACCCUCAAAAAAUACUGGUUGAAGAAACAAAUUAUGAUAAAACAGACUAAAAGAACGGAAUACAAA
Molecule: long non-coding RNA, 474 nt
Filed under: Felis catus (domestic cat)
Lineage: Eukaryota; Metazoa; Chordata; Mammalia; Carnivora; Felidae
Description: lncRNA (ENSFCAG00000051802.1)
Source: RNAcentral